RNAcentral lists this ribosomal RNA (479 nucleotides) under Symbiodinium sp. clade A. RNAcentral's name for it is "eukaryotic LSU rRNA". It matches the Rfam family "Eukaryotic large subunit ribosomal RNA", at positions 143 to 581 of the family's 3401-position model. The record is from RNAcentral. Lineage: Eukaryota; Dinophyceae; Suessiales; Symbiodiniaceae.
UUGUGGCCUUUAGACAUACUACCAACGGCGGCGCGAGCGUAAGCCUCUUGGAACAGAGCGUCUACGUGGGUGAGAAUCCUGUGUUUCGCUUGAUGCCCGCCGUGCACGGUACUUGCUCUCAGAGUCACGCUCCUCGGAAUUGGAGCGUAAAUUGGGUGGUAAAUUUCAUCUAAAGCUAAAUACAGGCUCGAGACCGAUAGCAAACAAGUACCAUGAGGGAAAGAUGAAAAGGACUUUGAAAAGAGAGUUAAAAGUGCUUGAAAUCGCUGAACUGGAAGCGAAUGGAACUAGUGCUCUGGUUGAGAGUGCUGUAAAUGGCUGCGACAUCUGGGCUCUGGAACGCAAGUCCUUUGUCUGGCUUGAAGUAGUCGCUUGCAAUGUGUCUCAGCUUGAACAUCAACUUCUAUGCAUACGUGAGGAUGGCCCUUGGCUCAUGCUGUGUUGCUGUGGCGAUACUCUUGUGCUUCUGGGGAUUCAGG